Molecule: RNA transcript, 4679 nt
Organism: Triticum urartu
Lineage: Eukaryota; Viridiplantae; Streptophyta; Magnoliopsida; Poales; Poaceae
Gene name: putative prolyl 4-hydroxylase 7
Source: RefSeq, a predicted model, not a curated record
GCCAACUCCCUCGCUCGCUCCUGCAGCCGCCUCCCUCUCACUCGCUCGCUCCUCAUCCGGCGAGACAAGCCUUCUCCUCUCCCGCAACUCCAGUACGCCGCCGCGCCCCUUCCCCUCUCCCACCGCCGUCGAGACGCGCACCCACCGCGGCCAUUGCCCUCUCCCACCGCCGCUCCUCCUUCCGCCCCAACACAUAGCUAGCGGAUUCGACCCGUCUCCCUCCCCGUCCGACCUCCACCGAGCCGCUCCCACGGCGACCGAGCUGCCGUCCCUCUCUCCCUCCGCACGCACGGAACCCUAGCCCGCGGCCAUGGCAGGAGCUGCAGCACGGGCCUCUCCUCCAACACCUCGACAAUGGAGGAGCCAUGACCCCACCACCGUCGCCCCCGUCAUGCCGCCGCUCCUCCUGCUCCUCCUCGCCGCCCUCGCGCUCGCCCUCGCCCUCGCCCCGGCCCUCCCCCACGCCGCCGCCGGAGGGGGCGCCAGGUUCUACGACCCGGCGCGGGUCACCCAGAUCUCAUGGCGCCCCAGGGCGUUCCUGUACAGCGGCUUCCUCUCGCACGCCGAGUGCGACCACCUCAUCAAGCUGGCCAAGGGGAGGCUGGAGAAGUCGAUGGUGGCCGACAAUGAGUCCGGGAAGAGUGUCAUGAGCCAGGUGCGCACAAGCUCCGGCACCUUCUUGUCCAAGCGCGAGGAUGAAAUUAUCUCUGGAAUUGAAAAGUGUGUAGCUGCUUGGACGUUUCUCCCUGAAGAAAAUGCCGAGUCGAUGCAGGUUCUGCAUUAUGAAGUUGGUCAGAAGUAUGAUGCCCACUUCAAUUAUUUUAGUGACAAAAAGAACGUGAAGCGUGGUGGUCAUCGAGUUGCCACUGUUCUUAUGUACCUGACAGAUGUGAAGAAGGGUGGAGAGACUGUGUUCCCAGUUGCUGAGGGAAGAGAUUUACAACAUAAGGAUGAAACGUGGUCGGAGUGCGCGAGACAUGGCCUGGCAGUGACCUGCUUGCUGAAUAGUAACAUGGAGACCACCCUGACUGGCCACGAUUCGUCUCGUCUUCCUCCCCGGCAAGCAAAGGCAUAGCAGCAUCUCCAACCCCUUCCUGACAAGCUGCAGGUCUUAAACGAGGUCCCAGCCGAGGAGAUUAUAGCUAAGGAAAAAAAGAUCUGGAAGAUAGAGCAGUUUGACUACAACCAUGACGCUGGUGACUGCCCCUUCCUUGGUUCUGGUGACUGGUGAGGCACUUGCCUUUCCCGUCAAAGGGAAAUUAAAAAGAGUAAAGAUGUUAUUUACAAGACAAAAAGGCCUGAAGCAAAGGACGGAGAGUAUAUCUCAACAAUAAGUAAUUAAACAUGGUAAGUAAUUCAUCACGCCCUCGGAAUUUUUUGUUGAGCAGAGAUGUCCUAGAGGUAUAUUCUUCUAUUCUAGAUCCAGAUGUAACUCUGUUUUUAAUUCUUGGGAAAGUAAACAUGUUUGGAUGCUCCCAGCCUGCUUUAGAAUACCCUCGGAAUUUUUUGUUGAGCAGAGCUGUCCUAGAGGUAUAUUCUUCUAUUCUAGAUCCAGAUGCAACUCUGUUUUUAAUUCUUGGGAAAGUAAACAUGUUUGGAUGAUCCCAGCCUGCUUUAGAAUAUACUUUAUGUGCUGUCGUAUAACUAUAGGUACUACACUAGCAAAUAUGCCCGUGCGUUGCAACGGGAGACAAAAAAUUAUGGCUAACCAACUAAGUAUGACUCAAUAUUCUAAUAUAUGAGCGUACUCUAUUUUAACAGAGUGGCUCACCAUGUUGCCAUUCUCAUCCUAGCCGAUGAUGGUCGCGAUGUCUACGUGAUCACAAUGCAUUCGAUGCAGUAAAUCCCAAGGCUAUGAGUUUGCCAGUGCAUACCACACUUGUCAUUAUGUUGCGCAAGGAAACGUUUAGAACUUUAAAAACAAAUCUCAUUGACCACAAACUACUCCCAACGCCAAGACAUAUAAAGACUUCCGAAAAACUAAUCAAAUCCUAGACAUAAAAUACUUUUGAAUCAGUGAACAGUUUUUUGAAUCGACAAACAUUUUUUUUGAAAUUUUUGAUUUUCUCAAAAUCAUGAACAUUAGUGUUUUUACAAAAAAAUAUGUACAAACCGGUUUCGAAUUCAUUAACAGUUUUUGAACCAACGAAUAUUUUAUGAAUCGAUGAUUUUUUUUCAAAAUUGGGAACAAAUUUGAAAAACAAAUGUUUAUUUUUAUUUUUGUGAACAUUUUUUUUCGGGAAUUUGUGAACAUUUUCUAAAUUGUCAUGAACAUUUUUUUCAGAUUCCCGAAUAUGAACAUGAUUUAUUUCCCGACCAUUUUUUCCAAAUUGUGAUUUAUUUAUAAUUUUGCGAACAGUUUUACAAAAUCACCAACAUUUUUGGAAUCUGCAAAUUUUUUAUGAUUUUCAAUUUUUUUUGAAUUCACAUAUAUUUUAUGAUUUCUCAAAAUUGUUUUUUGAAAAAUCGCAACUUUUAGAAUAUUAAAAUCCCAAAUUAAUUGAAAGAAGAAAGAAAACAGAAUGAGAAAAGAAAAUACAAAAAAAUAAAAUAAAACAAACAGGACAGUGAAGCCCCGCACAUGGGCUGGCCCAUGAACGCAUACAUGCGUGAGAAAAGAAAGAUGUAAAUUGUGGAGGCUGGGGAUCGAACCGUGCUCUAGUCGCUAGAGGAGAGAUCCACCAACCAGUCUGCUGCUUAUCGUUUCGUGACUUCUACUCAUCGCGGCUCUGUAAAAUAACAAAGGAGGCGGCGACUUUUGGUCCGAAAAAUUGAAUCGUUUUCUCACUCACGGGUGGCAUUGGUGGGUAAUAUUUACCAACUUAGAGGGUAAUUUUAAUGACGGACGACCAGAAGCGAUAGCCGCUUUAUUAUUAGGUAAAGAUUUGCAGAAGCCCUGUAAGAUGUAUAGUUUAGUGGCUCUAAUUCAUUCUGAGAUAUUCAGCGUGCCCCUUGGUCACUUGUUUCUCACUAUUCUAACAACGUGCGUAAUUUUCUUGCUAAAAUCAUUUCGUUGUCUAGCUCUGUUCAUGCCUAUAUGUUAUUAUAGCUUCAUUUUACCAUGAGAUUCUAAAGAUUUACUACAUUCUUACUGCGUACCCAUCCUAAGGCUUUCCUGCUCGUUAUUCCAGACUGCAUUUAUACGUAAGCAAAGAGAACACAUAAUCAAUUUAUAUCUCACUAUGGUUGUGACUUUUCAGCCAGUGUUUUAAUUUUUUCCCGAUAUUCUUGCUUAUUAGAUUAUGUUGGGCAACUAUAGUAUAUGUUGUGCCUGAGAUAGCAAAACCUGUUUCAUUUCGACUAUUUCUGCAUGUAGAAGAUUCUUGCGCCUCUAUUUACUGCAGGUUGCUUGCUGCCCUCUCAUCUUCAUCUUGUUAUUUGGUUGCUGCUAUUCUGACUAUGCUGAUUUACUACCUUCUGAUCUUCUCAAUACUCAGUCACGUUCCUUUCUGAAAAUCUUUAGAAUAUGUGUUGAUCCCUACGGAUUAUGUUGGAUUAGGUUCCUAUGUGCCUAUGCUUUUUGUUUUGCCUUUGGCCAAUUGGUUUUUAUCCAUUAUAUGAAUAUUUUGUGUCUUUGUGGUGAAAAAAACCUAACAACAACAUUUAGACUUCUACUUAUAUUCAAUAGCUUAUUAGUUUCUUCUGAUUCGAAUUCUCACCUGACUUUUGUGCUGCUCAGAAAUUAUAUGGGUACAGAGCUCUACCCACAAACCUGGAUUCAAGUGAUUGGUGGCGGGUUCUAGGUUCAAUGGACAAAUCUAUCUAUAAAAAAUAGUUAACUAUAUAGUGUACUCAUAUGCUUUGUUAAAGCAGUGUGUUGGUUAUAGUGAACAAUCUUUGUAGCUUUUUUUUUGUAAAACGUACUAAACCCUGAUGUGUUUAGUAUAAAAAAUUGCAUCAUUGGCAUGUAAUGUAUGGAUAAUUUUGUUCUCCUAACCUAUCAGAUAUGAAGCACGUCUUGCCAGGUUGGAUGUAGCUGGGGGCAGUAGGUGUGCAGCAAGCUUCAAUUCCAAUUUUUAUUGGGUCAUAUGUAAUGCUUUGGUGUGUUAUACUGCACUGAAACUAUAUCACUUGUUUUAGUUGCUUUGCUUUAGUUGCUUUGCUUUUGGAGGCUCCAUCAGAAUAGAGUGCAGGCUUUUGCUUGUCCUAAUCAAACAUCAGCGUAUUGAUUACUAUCUUGAAGAUGAGUUUUUCUCAUACAAUGGAAGAUGGAUUUAUAAUAGAACUGAAUGUGCAAAUGAAAAUUUUUAUCAGGUGAGCUAACUUUGCCCAUGACUAUUGAGCUAUAACAUAAAUGAGGUCUUUGCAACCGGUGGCUUUCUUCAAACAAGCACAAGAGCACAAGGAUCAUGGCGUGUAAGGAGUCAAGCAACGAGAUGACCCAGUCAAACUAUCAAGUAUUAUAGUUUAGCAUAACUAACCAGGUUCUUUAUCUCGCAACGCCUCGCAAGCUCACUUGAGCUAUGUCAUGACCCAACUAUUGUAUCUGUUUAGUUGUGAUCCAUUGUCUUGGCUUACUUUUGGACUAUAUAAUGACUCAUCGUGUUGGUUUACUUUUGCCAAAAAUGCUGCUUUGUUUUUGGUAUGAUUGAUUGCACUGCCCAUUGGCAUUACUUGAACUUAUGUUAUGUAUUGGUCACAAUUAUGUUAUAAAGGCAAUGCCAUACUUUUGAUGUAAA